Non-coding RNA from Physcomitrium patens, 1317 nucleotides. The record is from RefSeq and is a predicted model, not a curated record. NCBI's taxonomy places the organism in Eukaryota, Viridiplantae, Streptophyta, Bryopsida, Funariales, Funariaceae.
UUUGGUUGGGACUCCUGCACGGGGAUCUUAUGUACAUGCCACAAAGGUGCCCUGGAGGGUGCACAACGGAGCCAUGCCCAAUCAAUGUGCAGUGGUGGGUGGUUGCUAGGUCGUUUGUUGACAGAUGUUUGUGAAGGUGGUAGGUGUUAGAAGUGAAGGUAAUUUCUAAUUGCUCAGUUCUGCUUGUUAUGCAACGAAAUGUCUUUCUCAGGAAACGACUACAGUCUCUUGGGCCUCUCUGUCGGCAGAGCCAAGGACGAGAAGUCAAGAGAGGAGAAGAAGUCGAGUGCGUCGUCCACUCUGGCGAGUCGCAUGGCUAAGAAAAUCUCUUCAGUCCUGAGGCUCCGGCGUUCUACGUCGUGCUCUAGGAGGAAUUCGUCGGCUAUGGUAUUUAACAACUCAACGUCGUACUCAGAUGUCGACGAAUCCCAAUGCAAGUACUUCACUGGUGAAUCAGAGCGGUUUUGUCCAGACAUAAGUGCUUCGCGGAGGCAUGGUGACUCUCAGAAUAAUCGUUCACAACGAAGCGCAAGUCUGCGAAUCCAUGUCUAACUCGAGGUUAAGAGUCAGUUUCAGUUAUUUUUCGAGACCAGGCAUUAUGAUAUACUGGCAAAUAUGUAAUAGCACGUGAUCCCAGUACUUCUACGAAUACAGCACAUUUCCGGAUGCAACUGCACGUGAUUAUCCGCAGUGUAAAACAUAAAGGAGAGCAUUUUUGUAAUAACACGUGGUCCUUAAUGGCGCUUUUGGAUUGCUGAAGCAGGCGGUUUCUGAUGAUUCCUUCAGAUACGAAAUUCCUCCCACGAGGAAUUAUGGAUUAUCACCUUGGGGUUCAAAUGAUACGACACAGUUCUUUUGUUGCAUGACAUUGUUCUACAUUAUAUUCCUCCUCCGAGGAGCAUUCAUCCCCAGAAAGUUAAUAAGGCAUCUUCAAAAUGUUCUAUUUGAAGAAGGCUCGUAACAGUAGCCAGCAAGCGUGGGCAUUUUCUACGAGAAACUAAGUACUGUCGCUAGCUGUCUAGCGUUGCACGACUUUACACGAGGUAGUCGAGUCUUCCAUCGAAGGCUUGUACCUCAAAAGAAUGAAUCAAUGGGUUGCGAGACGGUGUAGGGCAGAUUGAAAGAUAUCUCAUGUAAAGGGUAGAAAAUGUAAUGGGGUGUACCGUACUUAAGUAAUCUUUGUUCAUGAAAAGGUCCAAAUUUGCUGAUUCUCUAAAUGCUCUUUGCUGAAAGUGCAGCCCAAGGGCCUCAAUUGUUAGACUAUUGUAUUUACUCUUCAUUUAUAGACUACCCCAUGGAAGGUAUAUGUUGAUCCUU